ACUGCUAACCGCUUUUGGUCCCAAAUCUUUGGUGUUGUUUUUUCCAAUAAACAUUGGUUACAUUUCUUUAUGCUAUUUGUACCCGUCACCGGUUUAUGGAUGAGUGCUAUUGGCGUAGUUGGCUUGGCUCUGAACUUACGUGCCUAUGACUUUGUUUCCCAGGAAAUCCGUGCAGCGGAAGAUCCUGAAUUUGAGACUUUCUACACCAAAAAUAUUCUUUUAAACGAGGGUAUUCAUGCGUGGAUGGCAGCUCAGGAUCAGCCUCAUGAAAAUCUUAUAUUCCCUGAGGAGGUUCUACCAAGUGGAAACGCUCUUUAA
RNAcentral lists this ribosomal RNA (318 nucleotides) under Triticum aestivum (bread wheat). Its description in RNAcentral is "partial small subunit ribosomal RNA". Lineage: Eukaryota; Viridiplantae; Streptophyta; Magnoliopsida; Poales; Poaceae. The record is from RNAcentral.